AGGGAAUAGAUACCCUGGUAGUCCUGGCAGUAAACGGUGCACGUUUGGUGUGGGCGCAAUCGACCGCGUCCGCGCCGGAGCUAAACGCGUUAAACGUGCCGCCUGGAAAGUACGGUCGCAAGAUUAAAACUCAAAGAAAUUGACGGGGACCCGCACAAGCGGUGGAGUAUGUGGCUUAAUUCGAUGCAACGCGAAGAACCUUACCUGGUCUUGACAUGCAUUGUGUCUCCGGUGAAAGCCGGAUAGGGUAGCAAUACCCGCUUUGCACAGGUGCUGCGUGGCUGUCGUCAGCUCGUGUCGUGAGAUGUUGGGUUAAGUCCCGCAACGAGCGCAACCCCGUGUGAUUUGUUGCCACCGGCUUAUGCCGAGCACUCGAAUCAGACUGCCUCGAUCAACGAGGAGGAAGGUGGGGAUGACGUCAAGUCCGUAUGGCCCUUACGGACCAGGGCUGCACACGUACUACAAUGCCCAGUACAAUGUGAACCGAGACCGCGAGGUGGAGGAAAU
This 507-nucleotide ribosomal RNA is filed under the name uncultured bacterium. Its description in RNAcentral is "bacterial SSU rRNA". It matches the Rfam family "Bacterial small subunit ribosomal RNA", at positions 773 to 1272 of the family's 1533-position model. The record is from RNAcentral.